GUUGGAUGGUUACGGAGAUCGGUUGGGAGACGUGUGUGGCGUUUGAUGAGCGUAUCGAAGGUGAUAGGGAAAGGAGGACGGCACUCGGAUGGUGGCGAGUGGAAUUGCGUGUGACGUCAUGUCCGUCAUCGUUAUGUUUUGAGAUGGGGCCUGCAAGCCGAUGCCUUCUUACACACUCUCUCAAAACAGUGCAGCCGUAUUGAGGAAGACCCCUUUCGUAGUGCAGAACAAUUCAAAACUUUUUGGAGGAAACGGUUCUCUUUGAUUCUUCAAAGAUGCAACGCAAAAGUAAUCCUCAAGAAGUUAUCAAGAGUUUCAGAAACAAACAAUGACAUGGACAAGCUUUUUGACUUUAAUGUACAGAUCGAAGUCCACUAAUGUUUUAAAGUAUUUCGCUGUGAAGGACUGGUUCAUCAUAGAAGUUUAGGAUGUGUACAAGUAGAGGAUCUCUAACAAUAAAAUAAUCUGUCUGUCUG
Long non-coding RNA from Corticium candelabrum, 476 nucleotides. RefSeq lists it as uncharacterized. NCBI's taxonomy places the organism in Eukaryota, Metazoa, Porifera, Homoscleromorpha, Homosclerophorida, Plakinidae. The transcript is spliced from 2 exons. The record is from RefSeq and is a predicted model, not a curated record.